Long non-coding RNA from Nicotiana attenuata, 331 nucleotides. RefSeq lists it as uncharacterized. The record is from RefSeq and is a predicted model, not a curated record. The transcript is spliced from 2 exons. NCBI's taxonomy places the organism in Eukaryota, Viridiplantae, Streptophyta, Magnoliopsida, Solanales, Solanaceae.
UUGUCCUGGGUUCAACGGCGUCAAGAUGCUGAUAUUUUGCCAGGUGAUCAGCUGGUUUUCUUCCUCCUCAAUGUGAUUGAAUUGUUGGGCUUGCUUUUGACCUUCAGACCAUUUCUACAAGAGCCUGAAGACAACAUUUCUAAGUCCAAAAAUGACAGCGCAGAUCAAUCAGAAAAUGGCAUACAAGAGACGCUCUCACUAACAGAGUUGCCUUGAGUUACCAAAAUAAGCAACUAUAUCACAAGUCAAAUAUACGGACAAAAUCUUCUUUUGCUUAGAAUAAUUUACAAUCAAUUUCUAUUAUAUUAUUUUGAUUGUUUCUUCACCAAAA